CCUACGGGUGGCUGCAGUGGGGAAUAUUGGACAAUGGGGGCAACCCUGAUCCAGCCAUGCCGCGUGUGUGAAGAAGGCCCUCGGGUUGUAAAGCACUUUCAGUGAGGAAGAACGCCUGGUGGUUAAUACCCAUCAGGAAAGACAUCACUCACAGAAGAAGCACCGGCUAACUCCGUGCCAGCAGCCGCGGUAAUACGGAGGGUGCGAGCGUUAAUCGGAAUUACUGGGCGUAAAGCGCGCGUAGGUGGCUUGAUAAGCCGGUUGUGAAAGCCCCGGGCUCAACCUGGGAACGGCAUCCGGAACUGUCAAGCUAGAGUGCAGGAGAGGAAGGUAGAAUUCCCGGUGUAGCGGUGAAAUGCGUAGAGAUCGGGAGGAAUACCAGUGGCGAAGGCGGCCUUCUGGACUGAAACUGACACUGAGGUGCGAAAGCGUGGGUAGCAAACAGGAUUAGAUACCCUGGUAGUC
RNAcentral lists this ribosomal RNA (465 nucleotides) under Vreelandella stevensii. RNAcentral's name for it is "partial 16S ribosomal RNA". It matches the Rfam family "Bacterial small subunit ribosomal RNA", at positions 338 to 795 of the family's 1533-position model. The record is from RNAcentral. Lineage: Bacteria; Pseudomonadati; Pseudomonadota; Gammaproteobacteria; Oceanospirillales; Halomonadaceae.